This is an RNA transcript of Lycium barbarum (goji berry), 2610 nucleotides long. RefSeq lists it as uncharacterized. The transcript has 5 exons. Lineage: Eukaryota; Viridiplantae; Streptophyta; Magnoliopsida; Solanales; Solanaceae. The record is from RefSeq and is a predicted model, not a curated record.
GGCAAAUUCUAUUCCUCGUAGAGUUACAACAAAAUUGGAUUCUGAUUUACACAAACGUCCGACAUCUGUAGUGUUUGUGUAUGAUGGGAAAAAAGUUGUCUUAAACCACUGAAAGGAAUUUAUUUUGAAACUUUGGACAUUGAUUUAGGUUAAGCUUUCCAAAAGUGUAAUAGACCGGGUUUCUGAGCUUGAAAAAGAAGUCCAAGUGAUUCUUGCCACGAUGAUGGAGGAUGUGGAUAUUUCCCCAUUGAGGAACUUAUUGAUGUCCUUUUUGAGUUAGCUGCUUCGUAUGACUAGGCACAGUUGACUCUAUAGCUGCAAGAUUAGAGUUGUUUUCAAUAGUCGGAGAACGUCUUACAUAUGCCAAGAUUGAAGAACAUGAAAAGGUUAAAGAAGUGUCAUAUAUUCGUUAAUUCCUAGAUAAGGUAAAAGAGAAUGUUAAAAAGUUGCACGAAAUAAAAUAACUUAAAUAUGAAGUCCUUUUAGAAGCUACUGAGAAAGAAGUUGAAGAAGUCAAAUUAAGAGCCUUAUUGCCGGAAAGGAAUAUGAUGCAUGCUCUGAUAUAGCCCUGAUGACUUCUCACGACUCGACCGAUUUAGAAAACAAGGAGCGCCUGGAAGCGCUAUGCGCCAACACCUGAUCAAUUAUUAGCCUAGAAACACUAUUUUAUUUGUUUUUCCUUCUUUCAUUUGAUUGUAUAGUAGAGAUUCUCAAUCAGAAAUAAAAUUCAUUUUGUUUCGCCUUAUAUCAUUCUCAUUGAUUUUUCUUUUUUCUGCACUUAAACAAUCAAGAUCCGAUAGUUAAACCACAUUUUCUACUAUGUUGGAAAAGGACCUCAGUCUUUUUUAAGGUGACUGAACUUAGAAUAGAACUUUGAGCGGCCUACAUACAUCGGAAGAGGAUCAAGUCAUUACGUAGUUUAGAACAAGUUGACUUUUACUCGCAAGGGUGGUUGAGUUGGUUGAGCCGGUGAUCUCCUCAAUGGGAGGUCUUAGGUUCGAACCCCCUGCAUGCUUUUUGGUCAAGCUUGUCGUACGAGGCUUGCCUAGUGCAUUUACCUCUCCUGUGUGGUUUGCGGGCUAUUACACUGGAAUGGGGUUUACCUUGUGCGCACCUGAAGGGUAGCAGCUGCGGGUUCCCUUGUCAAUUAAAAAAAAGGAGCGACAUGCACUUAUGUUCGUCCAUUAAGGUGCUUUUUUUCUUUUCCAUCAAGGAUAGCAUCUAUUCAUGAAUUUCCCCUUGACGGGGCCAAUCUGCAAAGAGUCAACAAUUUUGAAUAAGUUCAUAUCUUGGACAAUUGAAUGGCGGUUUGAUUCAACAGAUGUUGUGUUGAUUGACCACGGGGUACAUGAAGACACAAGUCUCUGCUCUGUGCUUGAGACUCAUUUGAAACCUGGUCCCUGGAAUCAUCCACUGAAGCAAUUUUGUGAAGAGGGUCAAAAUCACCUUUCUAUCAGUUAAAUAUAAAAGCCCCGCUGUGUGAGCAACUAGCCAAUAAAGUUAUUUUGGAAUAUCCUGAUAUUUAUGUUUUUCUGCCAUCACUAAGCUGUGAUUUUGAAGUAAUCAAAUAUUCCAUUCCUCUAAAAGUUGUGCUGAAAGAGGUAGAUUGCAGUGAUAGUCCAAGUCCCAAGGGAGUGAUGUUCAAGGAGGAGGAUAUAGGGGACGAUGGAUCAUUAGACCCACACAUUUCAGAUAUCUAGGAUUGUGCCAGGUUAAAUCCAGCAUCCCAGACCUCUAUCAAGUCAUUAGACAAGUUAACCACAUCAUUCUUUAAUGGACAUGUUACUGAAGGUGAGCAAGAUGUAGUUGGUGAUACAUGCAUAGUGCUUGAUUCAGAAGUUUUAUCAACGAAAGAGAAGGAUCUGAGUGGAGAGAAGGACUGGUCAUUGCUGGUUGACGUUUUACCUAUGGAAUAUGAAUUAGAGGAAGGGGAGAUAGAUCCACUUUAAUUUGUCAGUGCUUUAAGCUGAUCACAUUGUCUACCUUUGAUGCUGGAGUGCUAGUGGUGUUACCAAGACGUGCCAUGUAAGAUAAAAUGGUUCGCAUUGUAUACCAGUGAUUCAUGUAAGCUGCGGUAUGUGGCUCCUUAUAAUUCCUUCUACCUUGGUGAUAGCCAUAGUAGCUGUCAUAUGGGGAUCUUGGAUUUGAUUUCUCUGGACAACCUUUAUCUGAGAUGUGAAAGAUCCACCAGACAGUGGCUUGGUCAAUAUUUGAUUCUUGUAACGUGGAAAAAGAUUUAGAACCUGAUGAACUGGAUGCAGAAUACAGUUUCAUUUGUUAGAUGUUACAUGCAAGCAGUGUACCCUUCAUAGUUCAGGUACCAGCAGCAUUUGACGUUCCUGGUGCUAGAUGAUAUCUUGAGCAUUGUAUCUGGAGUUCCUCAAUCAAACAAUUUUACAACUAUAGUUAGAUUUUCUCUUGAUUCAUCUCCCGGGAAGCAUAGUUAGAUUUUCUAUGGACAUCCAUUCAUACUAUUACAGUGAUCAAGAUAUUUUUGUGUUAUAUGCACAUGUUAUGUGCUUCUUUCUUGAUUAUUGGUAGCGUUUAUUUGAUACUAUCAUGUCUGGAUCAAAUACAUUUAGCUACGAAGUUUUCAGCUUUAACUGUUCA